UACGUAGGGGGCUAGCGUUGUCCGGAAUCAUUGGGCGUAAAGCGCGUGUAGGCGGUCCGGUAAGUCCGCUGUGAAAGUCGGGGGCUCAACCCUCGGAUGCCGGUGGAUACUGUCGGGCUUGAGUACGGAAGAGGCGAGUGGAAUUCCUGGUGUAGCGGUGAAAUGCGCAGAUAUCAGGAGGAACACCUAUGGCGAAGGCAGCUCGCUGGGACGGUAUUGACGCUGAGACGCGAAAGCGUGGGGAGCGAACAGG
Molecule: ribosomal RNA, 253 nt
Filed under: uncultured bacterium
Lineage: Bacteria
Description: partial 16S ribosomal RNA
Rfam family: Bacterial small subunit ribosomal RNA
Source: RNAcentral